This 454-nucleotide ribosomal RNA is filed under the name uncultured bacterium. Its description in RNAcentral is "bacterial SSU rRNA". It matches the Rfam family "Bacterial small subunit ribosomal RNA", at positions 29 to 507 of the family's 1533-position model. The record is from RNAcentral.
AUUGAACGCUGGCGGCAGGCCUAAUACAUGCAAGUCGAGCGGUGCAGUUUGAAGCUUCGGUGGAAAGCUGCAUAGCGGCGGACGGGUGAGGAAACGUAGGAACGUGCCCCUUGGAGUUGGAUAGCCACGGGAAACUGUGGGUAAACCGACAUAGACUCGAGAGAGUAAAGGCCGAAAGGCGCCAAGGGAGCGGCCUGCGGCCCAUCAGGUAGUUGGUAGUGUAAAGGACUACCAAGCCGACGACGGGUAGCCGGCUUGAGAGGAUGGCCGGCCACAAGGGCACUGAGAGACGGGCCCUACUCCUACGGGAGGCAGCAGUGGGGGAUUUUGGACAAUGGGCGAAAGCCUGAUCCAGCGACGCCGCGUGGAGGACGAAGCCCUUCGGGGUGUAAACUCCUUUUCUCAGGGAAAAAGGAUGAUGGUACCUGAGGAAUAAGCCCCGGCUAACUACGUG